This 1305-nucleotide ribosomal RNA is filed under the name metagenome. RNAcentral describes it as "bacterial LSU rRNA". It matches the Rfam family "Bacterial large subunit ribosomal RNA", at positions 1603 to 2912 of the family's 2925-position model. The record is from RNAcentral.
AGCUUCCAAGAAAAGCCCUAUACCCGUUAAGGCAUGAUGGCCUGUACCCGAAACCGACACAGGUGGGGUGGUAGAGAAUACCGAGGGGCGCGAGAUAACUCUCUCUAAGGAACUCGGCAAAAUGGCCCCGUAACUUCGGGAGAAGGGGUGCCACCGCAAGGUGGUCGCAGUGAAGAGGCCCAGGCGACUGUUUACCAAAAACACAGGUCUCCGCUAAGUCGCAAGACGAUGUAUGGGGGCUGACGCCUGCCCAGUGCCGGAAGGUUAAGGAAGCUGGUCAGCGUAAGCGAAGCUAGCGACUGAAGCCCCGGUGAACGGCGGCCGUAGCAAUAACGGUCCUAAGGUAGCGAAAUUCCUUGUCGGGUAAGUUCCGACCCGCACGAAAGGCGUAACGAUCUGGGCGCUGUCUCGGAGAGAGGCUCGGCGAAAUAGAAUUGUCUGUGAAGAUGCGGACUACGUGCACCCGGACAGAAAGACCCUAUGAAGCUUUACUGUAGCUUGGUAUUGUGCUCGGGCUCGGAAUGCGCAGGAUAGGUGGGAGGCUAUGAACCAUUGCUUGUGGGUGAUGGUGAGCCACUGGUGAGAUACCACUCUUUCCGAGCUAGAGUUCUAACAGCCACCCGUUAUCCGGGGGCUGGACAGUAUCAGGUGGGCAGUUUGACUGGGGCGGUCGCCUCCUAAAAGGUAACGGAGGCGCGCAAAGGUUUGCUCAGGCUGGUUGGAAAUCAGCCGACGAGUGUAAAAGCAGAAGCAAGCUUGACUGUGAGACCUACAAGUCGAACAGGGAGGAAACUCGGCUUUAGUGAUCCGACGGUUCUGCGUGGAAGGGCCGUCGCUCAACGGAUAAAAGUUACUCUAAGGAUAACAGGCUGAUCUCCCCCAAGAGUUCACAUCGACGGGGAGGUUUGGCACCUCGAUGUCGGCUCAUCGCAACCUGGGGCUGAAGUCGGUCCCAAGGGUUGGGCUGUUCGCCCAUUAAAGCGGUACGCGAGCUGGGUUCAGAACGUCGUGAGACAGUUCGGUCCAUAUCCGGUGCAUGCGCAGGAAUAUUGAGAGGAUUUCUCCCUAGUACGAGAGGACCGGGAGGAACGCACCUCUGGUGUACCAGUUAUCGUGCCAACGGUAAACGCUGGGUAGCCAUGUGCGGAGAGGAUAACCGCUGAAAGCAUCUAAGUGGGAAGCCCACCUCAAGAUGAGUAUUCCCAUGGGGUAACCCAGUAAGGUCACGGGAAGAACACCCGUUGAUAGGCUCUACGUGGAAGCGCAGUAAUGUGUGAAGCGGAGGAGUACUAAUAGACCGAGGGC